RNAcentral lists this ribosomal RNA (499 nucleotides) under uncultured bacterium. RNAcentral's name for it is "partial 16S ribosomal RNA". It matches the Rfam family "Bacterial small subunit ribosomal RNA", at positions 28 to 507 of the family's 1533-position model. The record is from RNAcentral.
GACGAACGCUGGCGGCGUGCCUAAUACAUGCAAGUCGAGCGAAGUUUUUCUGAUGCUUGCACUAUAAAGAUUUCGCGGCGCAGGGGUGUGUAACAUGUAUAGAACCUCUCUCAUAGAGUGGGACAACUAUUGGAAACGAUAGCUAAUACCGGAUAACAGCAUUACCUGCAUGGUUGAUGUUUAAAAGUUGGUUUUGCUAACACUAUGAGAUGGCUUUGCGGUGCAUUAGCUAGUUGGUGGGGUAAAGGCCUACCAAGGCCACGAUGCAUAGCCGACCUGAGAGGGUGAUCGGCCACACUGGAACUGAGACACGGCCCAGACUCCUACGGGAGGCAGCAGUAGGGAAUCUUCCGCAAUGGGCGAAAGCCUGACGGAGCAACGCCGCGUGAGUGAUGAAGGAUUUCGGUUCGUAAAGCUCUGUUGUUAGGGAAGAAUGAAUGUGUAGUAACUAGACAAAGUAGAGACGGUACCUAAUCAGAAAGCCACGGCUAACUACGUG